This 497-nucleotide ribosomal RNA is filed under the name uncultured bacterium. Its description in RNAcentral is "partial 16S ribosomal RNA". It matches the Rfam family "Bacterial small subunit ribosomal RNA", at positions 28 to 507 of the family's 1533-position model. The record is from RNAcentral.
GAUGAACGCUGGCGGCGUGCCUAAUACAUGCAAGUCGAGCGAACGGACGAGAAGCUUGCUUCUCUGAUGUUAGCGGCGGACGGGUGAGUAACACGUGGAUAACCUACCUAUAAGACUGGGAUAAUUUCGGGAAACCGGAGCUAAUACCGGAUAAUAUUUUGAACCGCAUGGUUCAAAAGUGAAAGACGGUCUUGCUGUCACUUAUAGAUGGAUCCGCGCUGCAUUAGCUAGUUGGUAAGGUAACGGCUUACCAAGGCAACGAUGCAUAGCCGACCUGAGAGGAUGAUCGGCCACACUGGAACUGAGACACGGUCCAGACUCCUACGGGAGGCAGCAGUAGGGAAUCUUCCGCAUUGGGUGCAAGCCUACCGGAGCAACGCCGCGUGAGUGAUGAAGGUCUUCGGAUCGUAAAACUCUGUUAUUAGGGAAGAACAUAUGUGUAAGUAACUGUGCACAUCUUGACGGUACCUAAUCAGAAAGCCACGGCUAACUACGUG